RNAcentral lists this long non-coding RNA (795 nucleotides) under Chinchilla lanigera (long-tailed chinchilla). Its description in RNAcentral is "lncRNA (ENSCLAG00000028300.1)". The record is from RNAcentral. Lineage: Eukaryota; Metazoa; Chordata; Mammalia; Rodentia; Chinchillidae.
GCGUGACUUGGGUCAAGAGCUUGGCAGGAGGCUUUGGGAACAGUAGAAUCAACAGUGGUCAAGACUGAGAAGCCAGCACACUGGCCACCAUAAAACUGAAGAGAGAGCUUAUUGUACCUCACGCACAGCAGCAGGUUUAACAGAAAAUUAGACAUGUUUAUAGUCCCAGAUUUACAGCACGCCUUAUAAACACCUUAUUACUUAGAAUCCAGUCUGCUGUCCUAGAAACUAAGAAUGUGACUUUGUUAAGCAGGAGGAUUUGUUGACAUAAAUGUCUUGACUAAGUUUGCCAUUGCGGUUAACCAAAACGCACUUACUCCUGGGAAAGUAAACAGAAGCAAACAAAAUGCCUCUUAUACUACAAUACAUGUCUAUAGUAAGAGAAGCAUGCAGAAAAACACCAAGCUUUGGGUGCUCUUUUAUUUUCAUUACCUCGUCUACCUCUUGAGAAUGUCAGGCCUUCUCCAGCAUGCUGAAUGUCUGGCGGCUGAACUCAUCUUGGCAAAACACCUUGGAUUAUAUUGCUACAAAACAAAGAUAAAUCCUAAUUUCAAGGAUUUGGUUUUUCCUGUGUAUACCAGUUGAAUUUUGGAAAUCUAAAAAAAUAGAGCUAUUGGAAUUUCAAGAAAUCUCUACCUGGAAAAACAAAUUCUUAGACCUAUGUGCAACACCUGAGAAGAGAGAGAAGACAGCAUAUGAAAGGAUGACACAGGACAACACAGUUGGUAAUUCUGAGAAUGAAAUCCUCAAAGUGCAGAAUUCUCUGCCAAAUAAAUUUAAGUGAAUGAAAGCCAU